UGACCAAGGGGUCGGGAUGUUCUGCCUGCUUCAGGGGCGGAGUGACCUACGGGUACAGGGAGUACCUGCGUAAGGGCCGGGUCAGGAAAAGC
Non-coding RNA from Pseudomonas sp., 92 nucleotides. NCBI's taxonomy places the organism in Bacteria, Pseudomonadati, Pseudomonadota, Gammaproteobacteria, Pseudomonadales, Pseudomonadaceae. The record is from Rfam.